GGGGAUUUAGCUCAAUGGUAGAGCACUUGCCUAGCAAGCGCAAGGCCCUGGGUUCGAUCCCCAGCUCCG
Non-coding RNA from Rattus norvegicus (Norway rat), 69 nucleotides. NCBI's taxonomy places the organism in Eukaryota, Metazoa, Chordata, Mammalia, Rodentia, Muridae. The record is from Rfam.